This 497-nucleotide ribosomal RNA is filed under the name uncultured bacterium. Its description in RNAcentral is "partial 16S ribosomal RNA". It matches the Rfam family "Bacterial small subunit ribosomal RNA", at positions 28 to 507 of the family's 1533-position model. The record is from RNAcentral.
GACGAACGCUGGCGGCGUGCCUAAUACAUGCAAGUAGAACGCUGAAGCGAGGAGCUUGCUCUUCUUGGAUGAGUUGCGAACGGGUGAGUAACGCGUAGGUAACCUGCCUUGAAGCGGGGGAUAACUAUUGGAAACGAUAGCUAAUACCGCAUAACAAUAGGUGACACAUGUCAUUUAUUUGAAAGGGGCAAUUGCUCCACUACAAGAUGGACUUGCGUUGUAUUAGCUAGUAGGUGAGGUAACGGCCCACCUAGGGGACGAUACAUAGCCGACCUGAGAGGGGUGUCGGCCACACUGGGACUUGGACACCGCCCAGACUCCUACGGGGGGCAACAGGAGGGAAACUUCGGCCAUGGGGGGAACCCUGGACGGGCAACGCCGCGGGAGGGAAGGAGGGUUUCGGAUCGGAAAGCUCUUUUGUAAGGCAAGAAAGAGUGUGGUAGUGGAAAGUUCACGCUUUGACGGUAGCUUACCAGAAAGGGACGGCUAACUACGUG